CCUACGGGGUGCAGCAGUGAGGAAUAUUGGUCAAUGGGCGAGAGCCUGAACCAGCCAAGUCGCGUGAGGGAGUACUGCCCUAUGGGUUGUGAACCUCUUUUGUCGGGGAGCAAAAGCCGGACGUGUCCGGCUGUGAGAGUACCCGAAGAAAAAGCAUUGGCUAACUCCGUGCCAGCAGCCGCGGGAAUACGGGGGGUGCGAGCGUUAGCCGGAUUUAUUGGGUUUAAAGGGGGCGUAGGCGGAUUUAUAAGUUAGAGGUGAAAUGUCCGGGCUUAAACCCGGUACUGCCUUUGAUACUGGUGAUCUAGAGAGUAGGUGCGGUAUGCGGAAUGUAUGGUGUAGCGGUGAAAUGCUUAGAUAUCAUACAGAACACCGAUUGCGAAGGCAGCUUACCGAUCUAUAUCUGACGUUGAGGCACGAAAGCGUGGGUAGCAAACAGGAUUAGAUACCCCAGUAGUC
This 459-nucleotide ribosomal RNA is filed under the name uncultured bacterium. RNAcentral's name for it is "partial 16S ribosomal RNA". It matches the Rfam family "Bacterial small subunit ribosomal RNA", at positions 338 to 795 of the family's 1533-position model. The record is from RNAcentral.